Molecule: ribosomal RNA, 680 nt
Filed under: uncultured actinomycete
Lineage: Bacteria; Bacillati; Actinomycetota; Actinomycetes; Actinomycetales
Description: bacterial SSU rRNA
Rfam family: Bacterial small subunit ribosomal RNA
Source: RNAcentral
GAGCCACUUCGGUGGGGAUUAGUGGCGAACGGGUGAGUAACUUUGUGGGCAAUCUGCCCUGCACUCUGGGACAAGCCCUGGAAAUGGGGUCUAAUACCGGAUACUGACCUUCACGGGCAUCUGUGAAGGUCGAAAGCUCCGGCGGUGCAGGAUGAGCCCGCGGCCUAUCAGCUUGUUGGUGAGGUAAUGGCUCACCAAGGCGACGACGGGUAGCCGGCCUGAGAGGGCGACCGGCCACACUGGGACUGAGACACGGCCCAGACUCCUACGGGAGGCAGCAGUGGGGAAUAUUGCACAAUGGGCGAAAGCCUGAUGCAGCGACGCCGCGUGAGGGAUGACGGCCUUCGGGUUGUAAACCUCUUUCAGCAGGGAAGAAGCGAAAGUGACGGUACCUGCAGAAGAAGCGCCGGCUAACUACGUGCCAGCAGCCGCGGUAAUACGUAGGGCGCAAGCGUUGUCCGGAAUUAUUGGGCGUAAAGAGCUCGUAGGCGGCUUGUCACGUCGGUUGUGAAAGCCCGGGGCUUAACCCCGGGUCUGCAGUCGAUACGGGCAGGCUAGAGUUCGGUAGGGGAGAUCGGAAUUCCUGGUGUAGCGGUGAAAUGCGCAGAUAUCAGGAGGAACACCGGUGGCGAAGGCGGAUCUCUGGGCCGAUACUGACGCUGAGUAGCGAAAGCGUGGGG